AGAGUUUGAUCAUGGCUCAGAUUGAACGCUGGCGGCGUGCUUAACACAUGCAAGUCGAACGGAAAGGCCCUUCGGGGUACUCGAGUGGCGAACGGGUGAGUAACACGUGGGUGAUCUGCCCUGCACUUUGGGAUAAGCCUGGGAAACUGGGUCUAAUACCGAAUACACCUCAUUGACUGCAUGGUUGGUGGGGGAAAGCUUUUGCGGUGUGGGAUGGGCCCGCGGCCUAUCAGCUUGUUGGUGAGGUUACGGCUCACCAAGGCGACGACGGGUAGCCGGCCUGAGAGGGUGACCGGCCACACUGGGACUGAGAUACGGCCCAGACUCCUACGGGAGGCAGCAGUGGGGAAUAUUGCACAAUGGGCGCAAGCCUGAUGCAGCGACGCCGCGUGGGGGAUGACGGCCUUCGGGUUGUAAACUCCUUUCAGCACAGACGAAGCGCAAGUGACGGUAUGUGCAGAAGAAGGACCGGCCAACUACGUGCCAGCAGCCGCGGUAAUACGUAGGGUCCGAGCGUUGUCCGGAAUUACUGGGCGUAAAGAGCUCGUAGGUGGUUUGUCGCGUUGUUCGUGAAAACUCACAGCUUAACUGUGGGCGUGCGGGCGAUACGGGCAGACUUGAGUACUGCAGGGGAGACUGGAAUUCCUGGUGUAGCGGUGGAAUGCGCAGAUAUCAGGAGGAACACCGGUGGCGAAGGCGGGUCUCUGGGCAGUAACUGACGCUGAGGAGCGAAAGCGUGGGGAGCGAACAGGAUUAGAUACCCUGGUAGUCC
Molecule: ribosomal RNA, 772 nt
Filed under: uncultured bacterium
Lineage: Bacteria
Description: bacterial SSU rRNA
Rfam family: Bacterial small subunit ribosomal RNA
Source: RNAcentral